This 72-nucleotide transfer RNA is filed under the name Macrovipera schweizeri. RNAcentral describes it as "tRNA-Leu". It matches the Rfam family "tRNA". From Rfam's summary of the family: Transfer RNA (tRNA) molecules are approximately 80 nucleotides in length. Their secondary structure includes four short double-helical elements and three loops (D, anti-codon, and T loops). RNAcentral also lists the same sequence under 1 other name. Lineage: Eukaryota; Metazoa; Chordata; Lepidosauria; Squamata; Viperidae. The record is from RNAcentral.
UCUACCAAAGGAUAGUAGUAACUCCAUUGGUCUUAGGCGCCAAACUUCUUGGUGCAAAUCCAAGUGGUAGAA